CAGUAGCCGCGGUAAUACAGAGGGUGCGAGCGUUAAUCGGAUUUACUGGGCGUAAAGCGUGCGUAGGCGGCUAAUUGAGUCGGAUGUGAAAUCCCCGAGCUUAACUUGGGAAUUGCAUUCGAUACUGGUUAGCUAGAGUGUGGGAGAGGAUGGUAGAAUUCCAGGUGUAGCGGUGAAAUGCGUAGAGAUCUGGAGGAAUACCGAUGGCGAAGGCAGCCAUCUGGCCUAACACUGACGCUGAGGUACGAAAGCAUGGGGAGCAAACAGGAUUAGAUACCCGGGUAGUCCCUGUCUCUUAUAC
Molecule: ribosomal RNA, 301 nt
Filed under: uncultured bacterium
Lineage: Bacteria
Description: partial 16S ribosomal RNA
Rfam family: Bacterial small subunit ribosomal RNA
Source: RNAcentral